AGAGUUUGAUCCUGGCUCAGAUUGAACGCUGGCGGCAGGCCUAACACAUGCAAGUGGAACGGUAACAGGAAGCAGCUUGCUGCUUUGCUGACGAGUGGCGGACGGGUGAGUAAUGUCUGGGAAACUGCCUGAUGGAGGGGGAUAACUACUGGAAACGGUAGCUAAUACCGCAUAACGUCGCAAGACCAAAGAGGGGGACCUUCGGGCCUCUUGCCAUCGGAUGUGCCCAGAUGGGAUUAGCUAGUAGGUGGGGUAACGGCUCACCUAGGCGACGAUCCCUAGCUGGUCUGAGAGGAUGACCAGCCACACUGGAACUGAGACACGGUCCAGACUCCUACGGGAGGCAGCAGUGGGGAAUAUUGCACAAUGGGCGCAAGCCUGAUGCAGCCAUGCCGCGUGUAGGAAGAAGGCCUUCGGGUUGUAAAGUACUUUCAGCGGGGAGGAAGGGAGUAAAGUUAAUACCUUUGCUCAUUGACGUUACCCGCAGAAGAACACCGGCUAACUCCGUGCCAGCAGCCGCGGU
This 523-nucleotide ribosomal RNA is filed under the name uncultured bacterium. Its description in RNAcentral is "bacterial SSU rRNA". It matches the Rfam family "Bacterial small subunit ribosomal RNA", at positions 8 to 521 of the family's 1533-position model. The record is from RNAcentral.